GAAGCCUCAGGAGAAACCAGCCCUGAGGACACCUUGAUCUUGGACUUCCAGCCUCCAGAUGAUCCCGAGAAGCUGCUACUACUUGGUAAGGGGCUGAGAGUCCAGCCGAUCGCUCCCCAGGGAAGUCCCCUUCCUCGGAGGAACAAUGCUUUCCGAGAAACCCCACGGCUGACCAGAGCCUGUGCCACUGCCUGCUGCUGCAGAGCGAAGUGGGCUCCAAGGGGCGCUGUCACUCACGGCUCUGCUGCAUCAGCACCCAGCGUGCUGGGCAGCAUUGGGUUCCCCGAAAACACAUGCUGAGCUCCUAACCCCUGGUACCUGUGAAUGUGACCUUAUAUGGAAAGAGGGUCUUUGCGGAUGUCAUCAAGUUCAGGAAGAGGUGGUAGGACACAGGCACACCCAGAGGGACAACCACCACAUGAGGACACAGGGAGAAGACGGCUGUCCACACGCCAACAAGAGGGUUCUCAGGAGGAACCAACCCUGCCAACACCUUGACCGUGGACGUCCAGCCUCCAGAGUAUGCACCCCAAACACAGUCACAAGUGUCCUUGUCAGAGGAAGGCAGUGGGGGACUUGACACAGAGAGGAGAGAAGAGGAGACGGCUACGUGAUCACUGAGGCGAGAUGCUACGUGCUGGCUGCGAAGAUGGAGGAAGGGGCCACGAGCCAAGGAACGCAGGCAACCUCGAGCAGCUGGACGAAGCAAGGAACGGAUUCCCCCCCCGAGGGCCUCUGGAGGGAGCUCAGCCCUGCCGACGCCUUGAUUUCAGCUCAGUGGUACCGAUUUCAGACUUCUCGCCUUUGGAACUGUGAGAGAGUAAAUGCGUGUUGUUUUAAGCCACUAAGUUUGUGGACGUUUGUUGCCACAGCCACAGAAAACUCAUAUGGUAGAGACAGGAUUUAAACCCAGCAGUCUAUCUUCAGAACCUGCACUGUUGUUUGUUUUUCUAAGAUUUUUUAAACCUUUCUCCUUUAACAUUUAAAACUUGUUUUUUAAUUACAUUUAUUUUGAUGGCUGUGGGGGUGGGUGGGGUAACACAACGAUGUUUCACCCUGAGCUAACAUCUAUUGCCAGUUUUCCUCUCUCUCUUUUUUUCUCCCUAAAGCCCCAGUACCUAGUUGUAUAUUCUAGUUGUAGGUCCUUCUAGAUCUUCUGUGUGAGCCACCACCACAACGUGGCUGCUGACAGACGCAUGGUGUGGUUCCGCGACUGGGAACUGAACCUGGGCCCCCGAAGCAGAGCAUGCCGAACUCUAACCACUAGGCCAUCAGGGCUGGCUCUAAAACAUUUUUUUAAAGAGGUAAAAUUUCAUAUAGUGAAAUGCACAAUACAUUGUGACAAGUCUAAACACCUGUGUAGCCCCCACCCCAACUGAGAUAUGGAGCAGCCCAUCCCCCUUCCCAGUCAAGCGCUUCCCUGUCCGAUCAGCCAUGUGCUGAUUUCUAUCACGGUAGAUUUAUUUUGCCUGUUCUUGAACUUCCUAUAAAUAAAUGUGCAUAGUACGUUGU
Long non-coding RNA from Equus quagga, 1512 nucleotides. RefSeq lists it as uncharacterized. The transcript is spliced from 4 exons. NCBI's taxonomy places the organism in Eukaryota, Metazoa, Chordata, Mammalia, Perissodactyla, Equidae. The record is from RefSeq and is a predicted model, not a curated record.